CCCUUAGAUGUCCUGGGCCGCACGCGCGCUACACUGACAUGUUUAACAAGUUUCUCCUAGUUCGACAGGACUGGGAAAUCUUUGAACGCAUGUCGUGAUAGGGAUAGAUCAUUGCAAUUAUUGAUCUUGAACGAGGAAUUCCUAGUAAACGCGAGUCAUCAGCUCGCAUUGAUUACGUCCCUGCCCUUUGUACACACCGCCCGUCGCACCUACCGAUUGAAUGUUUCGGUGAAGAUUCCGGAUAGGACUGAUUUGAUUUAUUUCAUUUCUGACCUAAAAGCUAUCUAAACCUCAACAUUUAGAGGAAGGUGAAGUCGUAACA
This 322-nucleotide ribosomal RNA is filed under the name uncultured eukaryote. Its description in RNAcentral is "partial 18S ribosomal RNA". It matches the Rfam family "Eukaryotic small subunit ribosomal RNA", at positions 1470 to 1796 of the family's 1831-position model. The record is from RNAcentral.